This is a long non-coding RNA of Piliocolobus tephrosceles (Ugandan red Colobus), 1356 nucleotides long. RefSeq lists it as uncharacterized. NCBI's taxonomy places the organism in Eukaryota, Metazoa, Chordata, Mammalia, Primates, Cercopithecidae. The transcript is spliced from 3 exons. The record is from RefSeq and is a predicted model, not a curated record.
GGGUGGAGGGAAGGAGGAUACCUGGGGCCUGACCUGUGCACAGCAAGACCUUGCUACCCCACCAGACCAGAGAACACAGGCCACAUGUGAAGGAAGAGGCUGAUCUUUAGGCUUUCCAAAAACUGCUGGGACUUGGUGGAAAAUUGGAGUGUCUGGCUUCCAAGCAGGCAUAACGGCUCUCUGCAAGACCAGGUAUGUACAAACAUCCCUUGAGCAGCUCUGCAAGCCUGAUGCUUCACCAACGGGCGCCGGGGCUUCAUAACUGCUGAAAAUCUUGGUGUUGAUUAUCAGCACAGUGAUGGUGCCAGGUGCUGUGGAAUCAGCUUGGAUUUUGAUUUUGCUUCCUUUAUGUGAAGCCAGGAGGGAGCUUAGCGCCCAGUACUCCGUGCCCCACCCCCACCACAUUGCAGCCUCCCGCAGUCGCCAGGACAAGCGGGGGCUUUCAGUGGCAGCCAGAAGGAAUUCAGAAACAUCACAUUUCAUUUCGGGAAGAAUUGGAUCAGCACCAGUUUGGUGCUGAGGCCAUGAGAUUGUGGCAUUUUUAUCCCAAAUUAUCCUCUCUUGGCCUCUCUCAGUGUGUAUGUAUGUCUGUAGGAGUCCUUGUGUAGAAUUAUGCUCUGCAGAAAGCAUCCCACAUUUAUUCAAUUGCAUCGUCCCACAUUCUGGCUCGGGAGACACAGACUCGAGUCAACCUGAAGCUGCCUAAUUUUGCAGGGAAGCAGCUAUCCUGAUGUUUGCAGGUUGGAGGCCUCCAAGUGACACACAUCAGGAAGAAAUGGGCUCUCCAAUCCCGGAUGAGCUGAAACACAAACGCUUUUCUGAGGGAACAGUUGGGGUCUUAUCUUUCCGAGCCCUUGUCCGUGCAAGCAGCCAUUGAUGAAGAAGAGUUUAUGCUUGAUACCUAUUGCAGGUGUUCUUCGCUGUGGAGAUCUUGUCAAUGAAAGAUUCAAAAGUGGUUCAAUGAUCAGAAGACCCUAUGUGUUUGCUUUUGACCAGCUUUUGUUUGCUCUGUCACUCAGGGAGAAUAUAAACAACUUUGGCUAGGUAAGAUGGAAAAACAUUAGCCAGUACGGAAAUGUUCUACAGACAAGUGAGGGGACUUGGCAGAAGUCUGGCUUAGAAGAUGAAUGAAUAAAACCCCGGGCAGAAUGCAAUAGCGGCAAUAGGCACGCAUUCUUUGCAAAUGUGCACCGAAGGCUACAGGCUACUGUGUCUUUUUCUUCUGGCUUCUCUCUUGAGCUUCUGACACUGCACAGAAAGUGGGUCGGUCCUCUGAGAGGCUUGAAAAAUGCAAAAGUUUACCACCAACUGGUGGGAAUACGUGCAACACAUGCGUAAGGCAAAGAGCAUCAGUGG